Molecule: ribosomal RNA, 192 nt
Filed under: uncultured bacterium
Lineage: Bacteria
Description: partial 16S ribosomal RNA
Rfam family: Bacterial small subunit ribosomal RNA
Source: RNAcentral
ACGGGAGGCAGCAGUAGGGAAUCUUCCGCAAUGGACGAAAGUCUGACGGAGCAACGCCGCGUGAGUGAUGAAGGUUUUCGGAUCGUAAAACUCUGUUGUUAGGGAAGAACAAGUAUCGGAGUAACUGCCGGUACCUUGACGGUACCUAACCAGAAAGCCACGGCUAACUACGUGCCAGCAGCCGCGGUAAUA